UGUCACGUGUGUGAAAUCUUUUCACUUGC
RNAcentral lists this non-coding RNA (29 nucleotides) under Mus musculus (house mouse). The record is from RNAcentral. Lineage: Eukaryota; Metazoa; Chordata; Mammalia; Rodentia; Muridae.